UUUAUGUGUCUGCUGCUGGUCUCUGGCUUUGCCCAGGCAGGCAGGCUGAUGCUGGUGCCCAUAGAUGACUAUCACUGGUUUACCAUGCAGAGAAACUCAGCCACAGAGGGCAUGAGUGGUGGGGGUCAUGCCAGAGGUGAGUUGGCACCUGGUGCAAUCUCUGAAUUCGAUGGUAAAGUCUUAGUCAUUGUCUCACACUCAGGAGGAUCUGGAC
RNAcentral lists this long non-coding RNA (214 nucleotides) under Mus musculus (house mouse). RNAcentral's name for it is "long non-coding RNA chr1:88097917-88098131". Lineage: Eukaryota; Metazoa; Chordata; Mammalia; Rodentia; Muridae. The record is from RNAcentral.